Molecule: ribosomal RNA, 497 nt
Filed under: uncultured bacterium
Lineage: Bacteria
Description: partial 16S ribosomal RNA
Rfam family: Bacterial small subunit ribosomal RNA
Source: RNAcentral
GAUGAACGCUGGCGGCGUGCCUAAUACAUGCAAGUCGAGCGAACAGACGAGGCGCUUGCUCCUCUGACGUUAGCGGCGGACGGGAGAGUAACACGUGGAUAACCUACCUAUAAGUCUGGGAUAACUUCGGGACACCGGCGCUAAUACCGGAUAAUAUAUUGAACCGCAUGGUUCAAUAGUGAAAGACGGUUUUGCUGUAACUUAUAGAUGGAUACGCGCCGCAUUAGCUAGUUGGUAAGGUAACGGCUUACCAAGGCAACGAUGCGUAGCCGACCUGAGAGGGUGAUCGGCCACACUGGAACUGAGACACGGUCCAGACUCCUACGGGAGGCAGCAGUAGGGAAUCGGCCGCAAUGGGCGAAAGCCUUACGGAGCAACGCCGCGUGAGUGAUGAAGGUCUUCGGAUCGUAAAACUCUGUUAUUAGGGAAGAACAAAUGUGUAAGUAACUAUGCACGUCUUGACGGUACCUAAUCAGAAAGCCACGGCUAACUACGUG